AACCUUAUGGACCUGCGGGCGUAUACCUGCGGAGGGAUCAUUAAUGGGUAGGCUUUGGCCAUAAUCCCUCACCAUUGUGAACGAAGCUUUAGUAGCAGUUGCUUCGGCGGGUGGUAAUACCAUGCCCCUUUCGGGGUACCCGCCGGAGGCAAGUAAAUUCUUGUUAUUUAUUGUUAUCUCUGAGUAAACUUUAAAUAAGUCAAAACUUUCAGCAAUGGAUCUCAGAUCGGAAGAGCACAC
This 240-nucleotide unclassified non-coding RNA is filed under the name soil metagenome. RNAcentral describes it as "partial contains 5.8S ribosomal RNA, internal transcribed spacer 2, and large subunit ribosomal RNA". The record is from RNAcentral.